GCUUACGGCCAUACCAGCCUGAAUACGCCCGAUCCCGUCUGAUCUCGGAAGCUAAGCAGGGUCGGGCCUGGUUAGUACUUGGAUGGGAGACCGCCUGGGAAUACCAGGUGCUGUAAGCU
Molecule: ribosomal RNA, 119 nt
Organism: Amphiprion percula (orange clownfish)
Lineage: Eukaryota; Metazoa; Chordata; Actinopteri; Pomacentridae
Source: Ensembl